UCCCGGAAGACGACUCCUCCAUUGACUACUUGAGUCCACACACAAGCCAUGAUCUAACACUUAUAAAAGCAUACCGAUGGAAACAAUUUCCUUCAAACAAAGAAAAAAACAGAGUAAGAAAUGGGUGUCAUGAUAAGGUAUUUGUUGAUGACCUUAGUGGUCUAUGGAGGAUUACUACUACUCUUUGGAUCCGCUUUCAAGGGUGCCCAUGCCUCUGUGUCCUACUACUUUGAUCAACCUCAAUCUAACCACUUCUAUCCUAAAUAUUUGAAGGUGGUUUCCCGGAGAAGGAGCACACAACCACCACCACCCCCUGCUCGGAAUUUACAACAUCAUUAUGUCAUACCUCCAAUAUAUAAGCCACCAUAUUAUAAGCCGAAGCCGCCUAUAUAUAUGCCAAGGCCAAAGCUGCAGCCGCCGCCGCCGCCGCCGCCGCCAGCAUCAUCAAGGUUGGAAUCAUCGCCGCUGCCGCCAGUAUGAAGAAGAUGAAUAGUGUUGUCCGAAUCUAUUGAUGAAUUUUUGCGACAUGGCCGAAAAUCAGACAAGUCCCUAAUAAGUAGCAAUAAUUGGCAGUAGAUUUAUCAUCAAGGGGAUCUCUGGCCUAGUCAACAUCAAAAUAAGCCUGAUGCUGAAGGGAUGAGUGUGAGGAAAAAUGAAGUCUAUGAAAUAGAGUUCACUUGACAUAAUGCAAGAUACACUACAAGAAAAACCAAGUUUUGCGGGGUGCGACCUCACCGCAAUUACCCUGUUUUAUCGCAGAGUUAGAUGAACUACUGCGAGUUCAUUUCACCGCUAAUCGGUCGGGAAUAAUACGUCUGGUCAGACUAAUUUCGGUGAAUACUUGAAGCUGGCCGCAGUUGCUAUAGAUAAAGCUGUCGAUGGUUCCCGCAGCAGAAGACGAUGGACACCGAGGGUUUGAAGGGCAAUUUCGGUGGAAAUUCGUCGGCUUUGAAGGCCAAUUUCGGUGAUAGUUACGGCCAUUUUCUAGCACGGCAAUCAUUACGAUUUGGCGAAUUUGGGCACACCGAAAUUCCUCGAGUAUGUUGCCGCCGACUGCUCCCGCAGUAAUGAUUCGAUCCCAUCUUGGAUUGAAGGGCAAUUACUGCCAAAUAUUGGGACGCCACUGUUUAAUGCUUACUACGAAUUGUUUGGGUCACCGCAAAAGCUACUUCAGCUUUUUGCUGGAAAAUCGGGAAAAUAUAUAAAACAAUGGGGAUGAGAUUGCGGUGAAUUUGAUCUGGCACUCGAUUCGUCGAGUUCGCAUAUUUCAGGGGAAGUGGUGAAACCGUAGGAAAUGCCAAUUGCUUGUGGGUAAUUGCGAUGAAUAAAUAGAGGCAUUUCUUGCGGAUUCACGAUGAAUUUGUUGGGCAGAAGUCUACUGUUUUUUUGAAAGGGUUUUUUCCGAAUUCAUGAUCAGCUACAUAUGUUAUUAUGGCUGGAACUGAAUCUCAGAAACCAACCCACAGGUAUUUGUUCCUUAAUCUCAACUACUCGUAAACCCAUUUGCAUUUCAUACGUACAAUAGUCUACUUCUAUUCAUAGCCCCUGAACCCAUUUUUACAAUAUUGAGAAAUUUGCCCCUGAACCCAUUUUUACAAUGUGUCAAUUUAACAACCUUGUAAAUAAAUCUCCAAGUACAUAUUCUUUGAAUUGCAUUUUUGAACAACCUGAGAACUCGUAUCAAUCUCUUGUAAUACAUAGUACUCUGCCAAUCCUUGUUUCUAGGACUUUUUGUUUUAGAUUUAAUGUAGCUUUUUUCACAUGUUCAGCAAACUAAAACAGCAUAUAUAUUACUCUGUUUUCAUGUAGAAUAUUGCCAUCGAGGUUUCAUACAAGCUUGAAUUAACAUCUCAUUUACGUUCACAACAUUAUACAUUAUACAUGAUAGAAAGAGGAAAUGUCAUGCAAAAUCAAGCUUAUAUUCUUAAAUACUAUCUACCACUGGUGUGCUAGAAAUUAUAUCAUGUGCCACUCAUGGGAUUAGUCCUCAACAUGGCUAUACAUUUAAACCUGGGAGUGAAGUCUAUAUAUAGCAUCCUGUAGGCAGGUUCAUUAGUGCAUCAAAAAAUUACAAGCUUCCCUCAUAUCAACCUGUCAUAUGUACCUGCAUAUUACAAAGAUGAAAACAAUUACAGUCAAAACACACUCUACAGCCUACUCCAUACCAUUCAACCUGAAUUGUUGAACAAAAAUCAUUCACCAAAACUCCAUUACAGUCCAACCUAGACAGAAUUUUAUUUUUACCUAUUAAGCUAUAUUCUCUCAAGUAUAUGUUUAAAUAUCACAAACAUCAUGAAACCUUGUCUUACUACUUGUACUUGGCAUCUGAUUUGUUUUUUGGAAUGUGAGAAUAAUAUUGAAAGGUUUUUUAGGAAUAUGGAAGAAUGUUAUUUAUGAAAUUAUAUAACUGCAUCCAGUAUUUAUGCAUCUAUUGCCAUCGAGGCUACUAGAGAAGAUUGUAUAAGUUUAACAAAUAACUUGAUUGAGAAAAGGGAAAUAAUUAUUUCUAAACCAAUAAAAUCCUUUAAAAAAACCAGACAACUUGUUUUAGAAUGAGACUCCUCUCAUACGCUAAGAAAUGCAUGAUUAGAGUAAUAGAUCAUCAAAUCUGAUGCAAAAUCAUCACACCAAAUAUGGAGGGAAAUUAACCAUAGUCAAAACAGUUACAUGCUAAAGUCCAGCUAUAAACCAUCACCUAUAGUUCAGUCAACAAGUCUUUACCAUUUCAGGAAAUUUUGUAUUGCCUAGUAAGCUAGAUUCUCUCAAGUUCCAGGUGCUAAAACCAGUUAACACCAUUUUCUUUUAUUAAACUACUACUUGUACUUGGUAUCACGAGUAUCUUCAAACAGAGAAUAAAGCUACAAAUCUGAUGCAAAAAUAAUAGAUAACAAAUAUUUCCAGAAAUUAACCAUUUAAAAAACAGUUACAUGCUAAACUCAGCUACUUUAACCAUCACCUAUGCUCAAUCCAUUUCAGCAUUACCUCAAUAUAAUAUUUUAUUUUAGCCACUAGGCUAGAUUCUCUCAAGUUGUAGGUUAUAAUAUCCAGUUAACAUCACAAGUCUCUUAUUAAACUAAUACUUGUACUAUGUACCACAUGAGUAUCUUGAUACCAAAGAAUAAUAUUGGACAGCAUUAGAAAAGAAUAUGGAGGAAUGUUAUAUAUCAAAAUAUAUUUUGCAUCUAGUAUUAAUAUUGUUUGUAAGUGCCUGCUAGAGAAGAUUGCAUAUAUAUAACUAGUCUAAUUGAUUGAGAAAAGGGAAAUAAUUAUUCUUUGGUACACCAAUAGUUUUAUUUCAAUCUUUCAUUCAACUUGUUUAAGCAUUAUGUAUCCUCUCAUACACUAAGAAAUGCAUGAUUUAUAGAAUAGUACUUCAAAUCUACUAUUUCUUAUCACACCAAAUAUUUCUGGAAAUUAACCAUUAAAAUCCCAAUUACAUGUUAAAGUCAAUUUUAACCAUCACCUAUACUCAAUCCAUUACAGCAUUACCUCAUAAGAAAUCUAUUAUGAAACCUAGUGAGCUAGAUUCUCUCAAGUUGCAGGUUCAUAUAUCCAGUUAACUUCAUUUAGUAUUACCACAAGCUUAACCAUUGUCAAACAAGACACAGCAGUAGGAAGGGGUAGAAUUAAGCACACUUACAAAGGGCCAGACAAACCUUUAACAAACUGUUUCACAGCCCCAGUUCCAUGAUUUACAUGCCCAUCACUCUGUUGGGAUGCCAUUCCAGCAACUAAAACCAACUUCAGAAAACCUGCGCCAUUUCCCCCACCACAACUAUGUAACAAAAUAUGUUCCUGCCACCAAAAGUUAGUAAUACCUAACAAAAUAUCUCUAUUACUGGGGAAAGAUAAACUGAUUUUCACCAAAUAUUUAACUAGCUAAAUGCAUCUAUUUUUACAUACCAAGAUAUUGCCAUAAUCUUAACUGACAUCAAGAAAAUGCUAGUUUACUCAGCACACAUCACCACAUCGUGUGUCUCAUAUAUUGCAUAUCAUUAAAGAUAACCAAAUAAAUAGAUCUGCAUGAAGCGUUGUCAGACAAAACUUACAAAGGCACUAUAGAAGUGAACCAUCAUGGAGAAGGUACCCGUACAGAGUGGACUAAGGUAAAUUCCAAGUUGGUAUUCUUUUGCUCUCAACUUUUCUCCACUCUUUUCUAACAUUGAUUAUAACAAAAAAUAUUCUAUUACAAUAAAUGGAAAGAAAAGUCCUUAUAUUAAAUAAUUCUAGGACUUGGGCAUAUCAACUGCCCUUGGAACUGAUUUGAAUAUAUAUAUAUAGAUAGAUAUAUUUUCCCAAUAAAUCACUUGAUUAUGUUUACAUUCAUUUGCAGAUGUAGAUUAUUACAUGGAGGUGAGAAAUCACAUCUCAUCAACUUUGCAUAAACAUGGAGCAGUUAAAAGAGCUCGAGUUAACAGUUAAGUUAGAGCAUGGAUUCAAGUUAGUAACCUGAUUUCAGGUUACUAAACACAAUAAGGUGCACCACAGACAAAGUACAAUGGGACUUAGCAUGUUGGAGUCAACUUACAUGGAUAUCGACAACCUAAAUGGAAAGUAUUGAAAAAUCCAGCCAGUGAGAAAGUGACUUUUCAGCAAAAUCCAAAACUUUGCCUUUCGAGGUCAGCUGAGUAACAUGUGAAAACUGGGGCUGGAAAGUAGUCUACUUUAUCUGCUUUAAGACUGAAAAAGGCAACAGUCAACUUUUCCCCCACAUUUUGCCGCUUCAAGAAAUUUCACACUCCCGCCACAUAGUUUUUGCUCCAAGUCUUCUUGUACUCUCUAAUUGUACAGUCCAUGGGACCCAGUACUUGAUCCUGCCUACUUUAGAUUUUAUUCUUAUUCUUAUUGUACAAGAAAGCAUACAAUACAAUAAAGAGAUGUCGAAUUCUUGUCCAUUAAUACAAGUCUUAUUCUUAUUGAAA
Long non-coding RNA from Carya illinoinensis, 4922 nucleotides. RefSeq lists it as uncharacterized. The record is from RefSeq and is a predicted model, not a curated record. Lineage: Eukaryota; Viridiplantae; Streptophyta; Magnoliopsida; Fagales; Juglandaceae. The transcript is spliced from 2 exons.